RNAcentral lists this ribosomal RNA (305 nucleotides) under uncultured bacterium. RNAcentral's name for it is "bacterial SSU rRNA". It matches the Rfam family "Bacterial small subunit ribosomal RNA", at positions 333 to 635 of the family's 1533-position model. The record is from RNAcentral.
GAAGGCCUACGGGGCGCAGCAGUGAGGAAUAUUGGUCAAUGGGCGGUAGCCUGAACCAGCCACGUAGCGUGAAGGAUGAAGGUGCUAUGGAUUGUAAUCUUCUUUUAUAAAGGAAUAAAGUGAGGCUCGUGUGCCUUUUUGUAUGUACUUUAUGAAUAAGGAUCGGCUAACUCCGUGCCAGCAGCCGCGGUAAUACGGAGGAUCCGAGCGUUAUCCGGAUUUAUUGGGUUUAAAGGGAGCGUAGGUGGAUUGUUAAGUCAGUUGUGAAAGUUUGCGGCUCAACCGUAAAAUUGCAGUUGAAACUG